UACGGGGGGGGCAAGCGUUGUUCGGAAUUACUGGGCGUAAAGGGCUCGUAGGCGGCCAACUAAGUCAGACGUGAAAACCCCCGGCUUAACCAGGGAACUGCGUCUGAUACUGGAUGGCUUGAGUUUGGGAGAGGGAUGCGGAAUUCCAGGUGUAGCGGUGAAAUGCGUAGAUAUCUGGAGGAACACCGGUGGCGAAGGCGACAUCCUGGACCAAUACUGACGCUGAUGCACGAAAGCUAGGGGAGCAAACAGG
RNAcentral lists this ribosomal RNA (253 nucleotides) under uncultured prokaryote. RNAcentral's name for it is "partial 16S ribosomal RNA". It matches the Rfam family "Bacterial small subunit ribosomal RNA", at positions 524 to 776 of the family's 1533-position model. The record is from RNAcentral.